CUGGUAUUGAUUGGUGCUUGCAUCAUGAUUUACAUUUGAGUGAGUGGCGAACUGGUGAGUAACACGUGGGAAACCUGCCCAGAAGCGGGGGAUAACACCUGGAAACAGAUGCUAAUACCGCAUAACAACUUGGACCGCAUGGUCCGAGCUUGAAAGAUGGCUUCGGCUAUCACUUUUGGAUGGUCCCGCGGCGUAUUAGCUAGAUGGUGGGGUAACGGCUCACCAUGGCAAUGAUACGUAGCCGACCUGAGAGGGUAAUCGGCCACAUUGGGACUGAGACACGGCCCAAACUCCUACGGGAGGCAGCAGUAGGGAAUCUUCCACAAUGGACGAAAGUCUGAUGGAGCAACGCCGCGUGAGUGAAGAAGGGUUUCGGCUCGUAAAACUCUGUUGUUAAAGAAGAACAUAUCUGAGAGUAACUGUUCAGGUAUUGACGGUAUUUAACCAGAAAGCCACGGCUAACUACGUGCCAGCAGCCGCGGUAAUACGUAGGUGGCAAGCGUUGUCCGGAUUUAUUGGGCGUAAAGCGAGCGCAGGCGGUUUUUUAAGUCUGAUGUGAAAGCCUUCGGCUCAACCGAAGAAGUGCAUCGGAAACUGGGAAACUUGAGUGCAGAAGAGGACAGUGGAACUCCAUGUGUAGCGGUGAAAUGCGUAGAUAUAUGGAAGAACACCAGUGGCGAAGGCGGCUGUCUGGUCUGUAACUGACGCUGAGGCUCGAAAGUAUGGGUAGCAAACAGGAUUAGAUACCCUGGUAGUCCAUACCGUAAACGAUGAAUGCUAAGUGUUGGAGGGUUUCCGCCCUUCAGUGCUGCAGCUAACGCAUUAAGCAUUCCGCCUGGGGAGUACGGCCGCAAGGCUGAAACUCAAAGGAAUUGACGGGGGCCCGCACAAGCGGUGGAGCAUGUGGUUUAAUUCGAAGCUACGCGAAGAACCUUACCAGGUCUUGACAUACUAUGCAAAUCUAAGAGAUUAGACGUUCCCUUCGGGGACAUGGAUACAGGUGGUGCAUGGUUGUCGUCAGCUCGUGUCGUGAGAUGUUGGGUUAAGUCCCGCAACGAGCGCAACCCUUAUUAUCAGUUGCCAGCAUUAAGUUGGGCACUCUGGUGAGACUGCCGGUGACAAACCGGAGGAAGGUGGGGAUGACGUCAAAUCAUCAUGCCCCUUAUGACCUGGGCUACACACGUGCUACAAUGGAUGGUACAACGAGUUGCGAACUCGCGAGAGUAAGCUAAUCUCUUAAAGCCAUUCUCAGUUCGGAUUGUAGGCUGCAACUCGCCUACAUGAAGUCGGAAUCGCUAGUAAUCGCGGAUCAGCAUGCCGCGGUGAAUACGUUCCCGGGCCUUGUACACACCGCCCGUCACACCAUGAGAGUUUGUAACACCCAAAGUCGGUGGG
RNAcentral lists this ribosomal RNA (1395 nucleotides) under Lactiplantibacillus plantarum. RNAcentral describes it as "bacterial SSU rRNA". It matches the Rfam family "Bacterial small subunit ribosomal RNA", at positions 67 to 1434 of the family's 1533-position model. The record is from RNAcentral. Lineage: Bacteria; Bacillati; Bacillota; Bacilli; Lactobacillales; Lactobacillaceae.